AUGCCGCUGAAUGAAUUUGAUAGAUUAGUUUACUGGAAACACUUUAGUCAACCAUAUAUAGUCGUCCUCGACACUGGGACGCUGCGGUUAUCUCGAAUGGAUUUGCCGCCGCCAUUGCAAGAUAUGGGCUCCACAGAAUUUAAGCUUGGCCUGACCAAGGAUGGGAGGCUGUCUUUGGUUUUCAUAGAUCACUUUCUUGCAAGCAAAGGAAUGCUCGCUGUUUGGUUUCGGAGAGCCGAUGGUGACGGCGUUGAGAAAUGGAUGCUGCACAAGAUUUUCGCACUGAGUGAAUUUGUUGAUUUCUCUAUGUGUUCACAAGAGUAUCAUGAUGUCAUUGUGCAUCCUGCGGAGGUCAUAGGUGAUUUUCUGUACCUGUCUCUUUGUUAUGAUGGGUAUACCAGGUGCUGCCUAUCCUUGUGCCUGGAAACAGACAAGGUAAACAAGUUCUUUGAUCAUAGUGUCCAUCCCUACAUCAUGGCGUGCCCGCCUUCUUUGGUAUGCAACAAGGAGGAUUUGGAAACCAAAGUUACUUGA
Molecule: ribosomal RNA, 534 nt
Filed under: Triticum aestivum (bread wheat)
Lineage: Eukaryota; Viridiplantae; Streptophyta; Magnoliopsida; Poales; Poaceae
Description: partial small subunit ribosomal RNA
Source: RNAcentral